UAGGCGUAAAUGAUGCGAGUUAAGUGUGGGGGCAUCUACGAGAUGGCCCUGUGCUGUAGGGUAGCCGUUAAACUCGCUGCCUGGGGAGUACGGUCGCAAGGCUGAAACUUAAAGGAAUUGGCGGGGGGAGCACCACAAGAGGUGGAGGCUGCGGUUCAAUUGGACUCAACGCCGGAAACUCAUCGGGAGCGACAGCAGUAUGAUUGCCAGGUUGAUGACCUUGCUUGACAAGCUGAGAGGAGGUGCAUGGCGUAGACGUCU
Molecule: ribosomal RNA, 261 nt
Filed under: uncultured archaeon
Lineage: Archaea
Description: partial 16S ribosomal RNA
Rfam family: Archaeal small subunit ribosomal RNA
Source: RNAcentral